This 240-nucleotide unclassified non-coding RNA is filed under the name soil metagenome. RNAcentral describes it as "partial contains 5.8S ribosomal RNA, internal transcribed spacer 2, and large subunit ribosomal RNA". The record is from RNAcentral.
AACCAUAGAAACCUGCGGAGUACCUGCGGAGGGAUCAUUAACACGUAUCCACGUAUCCACCCCUGUGCACCUGUUUCCUCUCCCUGUGGCUUCACAUGAGUCGGUAAAACGCGUCAGCAUUUUGGAUAGGGCCUUCGGGCCGGUGCUGCGCGUACAAUAGAGGCAUUCGUGCCUCUGACGAUUGAAGUGAACUCGCAGGCAAACUGCUCACUACAAAAGCCUCUAUCCAAGGUGGACGUA